RNAcentral lists this unclassified non-coding RNA (308 nucleotides) under uncultured fungus. RNAcentral's name for it is "partial contains small subunit ribosomal RNA, internal transcribed spacer 1, and 5.8S ribosomal RNA". The stretch from base 1 to 73 matches the Rfam family "Eukaryotic small subunit ribosomal RNA", at positions 1759 to 1831 of the family's 1831-position model. The record is from RNAcentral. Lineage: Eukaryota; Fungi.
UCAAACUUGGUCAUUUAGAGGAAGUAAAAGUCGUAACAAGGUUUCCGUAGGUGAACCUGCGGAAGGAUCAUUGUUGAGUAUUUUGAGUAGUUUUGAUAUGCAAGUAUCAUACUGCUCUUACACUCUUUACCCUUUGUUAUUUUUUCUUAGUUGCUUUGGCAGUUGCCUUGUGCUCUGCCAAAGGAUAUAUACUAAACCCUUAUGUUAACCAAUAAUUGGGAUACUUGUAGUCUGAUUAUGUUACUUUAAUAGUAUACAAAACUUUCAACAACGGAUCUCUUGGUUCUGGCAUCGAUGAAGAACGCAGC